GACGAACGCUGGCGGCGUGCUUAACACAUGCAAGUCGAACGGAAAGGCCCUGCUUUUGUGGGGUGCUCGAGUGGCGAACGGGUGAGUAACACGUGAUUAACCUGCCCUUGACUUUGGGAUAACUUCAGGAAACUGGGGCUAAUACCGGAUAGGAGCUCCUGCUGCAUGGUGGGGGUUGGAAAGUUUCGGCGGUUGGGGAUGGACUCGCGGCUUAUCAGCUUGUUGGUGGGGUAGUGGCUUACCAAGGCUUUGACGGGUAGCCGGCCUGAGAGGGUGACCGGCCACAGUGUGAGUGGGACGCCGGCAAGACUCCUACGGGAGGCAGCGGGAGGGGGUCUUCCGCAAUGGGCGGGAGCGUGACGGAGCAACGCCGCGGGAUAGAUGAAUGGCUUCGGAGCGUAAGACGGGGUGAUGAGGGAAGAACAAAUGGGUAAGGACCUAUGCACGUCGGGACGGGACCUAAUCAGAAAGCCACGGCUAACGACGUG
This 488-nucleotide ribosomal RNA is filed under the name uncultured bacterium. Its description in RNAcentral is "partial 16S ribosomal RNA". It matches the Rfam family "Bacterial small subunit ribosomal RNA", at positions 28 to 507 of the family's 1533-position model. The record is from RNAcentral.